Molecule: ribosomal RNA, 498 nt
Filed under: uncultured bacterium
Lineage: Bacteria
Description: partial 16S ribosomal RNA
Rfam family: Bacterial small subunit ribosomal RNA
Source: RNAcentral
AGUGAACGCUGGCGGCAUGCCUUACACAUGCAAGUCGAACGGUAACAGGUCUUCGGAUGCUGACGAGUGGCGAACGGGUGAGUAAUACAUCGGAACGUGCCUAGUAGUGGGGGAUAACUACUCGAAAGAGUGGCUAAUACCGCAUGAGAUCUACGGAUGAAAGCAGGGGAUCGCAAGACCUUGUGCUACUAGAGCGGCCGAUGGCAGAUUAGGUAGUUGGUGGGAUAAAAGCUUACCAAGCCGACGAUCUGUAGCUGGUCUGAGAGGACGAUCAGCCAAACUGGGACUGAGACCCGGCCCAGACUCCUACGGGAGGCAGCAGUGGGGAAUUUUGGACAAUGGGCGCAAGCCUGAUCCAGCAAUGCCGCGUGCAGGAUGAAGGCCUUCGGGUUGUAAACUGCUUUUGUACGGAACGAAAAGCCCCGGGUUAAUUCCCUGGGGUCAUGACGGUACCGUAAGAAUAAGCACCGGCUAACUACGUGCCAGCAGCCGCUGUAA